This 253-nucleotide ribosomal RNA is filed under the name uncultured bacterium. Its description in RNAcentral is "partial 16S ribosomal RNA". It matches the Rfam family "Bacterial small subunit ribosomal RNA", at positions 524 to 776 of the family's 1533-position model. The record is from RNAcentral.
UACGAAGGGGGCUAGCGUUGCUCGGAUUGACUGGGCGUAAAGGGCGCGUAGGCGGUUCGUACAGUCAGACGUGAAAUUCCUGGGCUCAACCUGGGAGCUGCGUUUGAUACGUGCGGACUUGAGUGCGGAAGAGGGUCGUGGAAUUCCCAGUGUAGAGGUGAAAUUCGUAGAUAUUGGGAAGAACACCGGUGGCGAAGGCGGCGACCUGGUCCGAUACUGACGCUGAGGCGCGAAAGCGUGGGGAGCGAACAGG